This 989-nucleotide long non-coding RNA is filed under the name Mytilus galloprovincialis (Mediterranean mussel). Lineage: Eukaryota; Metazoa; Mollusca; Bivalvia; Mytilida; Mytilidae. The record is from RNAcentral.
AGAAGGUGGAAGACCUGGAUGCUUCAUACUUUGUAUACAGAUGCUUCAUGUUACGAAGUUUCCGUCAGUCACAUGUCCAAUGUCCUUGACCUCAUUUUCAUGGUUCAGUGACCACUUGGAAAAAAAGUUCAAUUUUUUGUAAUGUUGAAUUCUCUCUUAUUAUAAGUAAUAGGAUAACUAUAUUUGAUAUGUGCGUACCUUGCAAGGUCCUUAUGUCUGUCAGACAGUUUUCACUUGACCUCGACCUCAUUUCAUGGAUCAGUGAACAAGGUUAAGUUUUGGUGGUCAAGUCCAUAUCUCAGAUACUAUAAGCAAUAGGGCUAGUAUAUUCGGUGUAUGGAAGGACUGUAAGGUGUACAUGUCCAACUGGCAGGUGUCAUCUGACCUUGACCUCAUUUUCAUGGUUCAGUGGUUAUAGUUAAAUUUUUGUGUAUUGGUCUGUUUUUCUCAUACUAUAUGCAAUAGGUCUACUAUAUUUGUUGUAUGGAAUGAUUGUAAGGUGUACAUGUCUAGCGGGCAGAUGUCAUGUGACCUUGACCUCAUUUUCAUGAUUCAGUGGUCAAAGUUAAGUUUUUGAGUUAUGGUUUUUUUAUCUAAUACUAUAUGCCAUAGGUCAACUAUAUUUGGUGUAUGGAAAUAUUUUAUGAUCUUUAUGUCAGUCGCCCAGGUUUUAUUUGACCUUGACCUCAUUUUCACGGUUCAUUGCACAGUGUUAAGUUUUUGUGUUUUGGGCUGUUUUUCUUAAACUAUAAGUAAUGGGUCAACUAUAUAUGUUGUAUAGAAGCAUUGUUAGCUGUACAUGUCUGCCUGGCAUGGUUCAUCUGACCUUGACCUCAUUUUCAAGGUUCAUUAAUCUUUGUUUAGUUAUCUUGGUUAAUGUUAAGUUUAUGUGACAGUUGUAAUAAAGCUUAGCUUUAUACUUAGGACUAUCAACAUGAUAUCAAUGAUUAGUAUAGAAGGCGAGACAUUUCAGCGUGUGCACUCUUGUU